GAGAGGGAGAGUGCGGCCGACGGUGGCACAUAUGCUGCUGAGGAAAGUCCCCCCACCCUCCGGACACGCAGCCGCAUGCAAGUGCGGAUGGCGAGAGUCAUGGCUCUGGCACAGAAACGACACGCCCCACUGCCAGCGAUGAUGCGACCGAGCCCCAGAGGGGCGAGAAGCGCCACAAGCGCGAGUUAACUCGCUGAGCGUACCAGUGGGAAUCGCUGGAACGGUGAAUCCCUGCGGGUGCAAGCCGGAACAGGACAUAUGGAUCGUCCGGAAUCCGUCCGGGUACGGCGCAAAGCUGAAUGCCGCAACGAACAGAAGGGGGCUUACUCCUCCCACUC
RNAcentral lists this RNase P RNA (338 nucleotides) under Methanoculleus sp. Its description in RNAcentral is "RNase P RNA component". It matches the Rfam family "Archaeal RNase P". Rfam says of the family: Ribonuclease P (RNase P) is a ubiquitous endoribonuclease, found in archaea, bacteria and eukarya as well as chloroplasts and mitochondria. Lineage: Archaea; Methanobacteriati; Methanobacteriota; Methanomicrobia; Methanomicrobiales; Methanomicrobiaceae. The record is from RNAcentral.